AGAGUUUGAUCCUGGCUCAGGAUGAACGCUAGCUACAGGCUUAACACAUGCAAGUCGAGGGGCAGCAUGGUCUUAGCUUGCUAAGGCCGAUGGCGACCGGCGCACGGGUGAGUAACGCGUAUCCAACCUGCCUUACACUCUUGGACAGCCUUCUGAAAGGGAGAUUAAUACAAGAUGUUAUCAUGAGUAAGCAUUUUCGCAUGAUUAAAGGUUUACCGGUGUAAGAUGGGGAUGCGUUCCAUUAGAUAGUAGGCGGGGUAACGGCCCACCUAGUCUUCGAUGGAUAGGGGUUCUGAGAGGAAGGUCCCCCACAUUGGAACUGAGACACGGUCCAAACUCCUACGGGAGGCAGCAGUGAGGAAUAUUGGUCAAUGGACGAGAGUCUGAACCAGCCAAGUAGCGUGAAGGAUGAAGGUUCUAUGGAUUGUAAACUUCUUUUAUACGGGAAUAAACGGAUCCACGUGUGGAUUUUUGCAUGUACCGUAUGAAUAAGGAUCGGCUAACUCCGUGCCAGCAGCCGCGGUAAUACGGAGGAUCCGAGCGUUAUCCGGAUUUAUUGGGUUUAAAGGGAGCGUAGAUGGGUUGUUAAGUCAGUUGUGAAAGUUUGCGGCUCAACCGUAAAAUUGCAAUUGAUACUGGCAGUCUUGAGUACAGUUGAGGUAGGCGGAAUUCGUGGUGUAGCGGUGAAAUGCUUAGAUAUCACGAAGAACUCCGAUUGCGAAGGCAGCUUACUAACCUGUAACUGACAUUGAUGCUCGAAAGUGUGGGUAUCAAACAGGAUUAGAUACCCUGGUAGUCCACACGGUAAACGAUGAAUACUCGCUGUAGGCGAUAUACAGUCUGCGGCCAAGCGAAAGCAUUAAGUAUUCCACCUGGGGAGUACGCCGGCAACGGUGAAACUCAAAGGAAUUGACGGGGGCCCGCACAAGCGGAGGAACAUGUGGUUUAAUUCGAUGAUACGCGAGGAACCUUACCCGGGCUUAAAUUGCAACCGAAUAUGGCGGAAACGCUAUAGCUAGCAAUAGCGGUUGUGAAGGUGCUGCAUGGUUGUCGUCAGCUCGUGCCGUGAGGUGUCGGCUUAAGUGCCAUAACGAGCGCAACCCUUGCCGAUAGUUACUAACAGGUUAUGCUGAGGACUCUGUCGGGACUGCCAUCGUAAGAUGUGAGGAAGGUGGGGAUGACGUCAAAUCAGCACGGCCCUUACGUCCGGGGCUACACACGUGUUACAAUGGGGGGUACAGAGGGCUGCUACCACGCAAGUGGAUGCCAAUCCCAAAAACCUCUCUCAGUUCGGAUUGAAGUCUGCAACCCGACUUCAUGAAGCUGGAUUCGCUAGUAAUCGCGCAUCAGCCACGGCGCGGUGAAUACGUUCCCGGGCCUUGCACUCACCGCCCGUCA
Molecule: ribosomal RNA, 1398 nt
Filed under: uncultured bacterium
Lineage: Bacteria
Description: 16S ribosomal RNA
Rfam family: Bacterial small subunit ribosomal RNA
Source: RNAcentral